This 2549-nucleotide ribosomal RNA is filed under the name Salmonella enterica subsp. enterica serovar Typhimurium. RNAcentral's name for it is "partial 23S ribosomal RNA". It matches the Rfam family "Bacterial large subunit ribosomal RNA". Lineage: Bacteria; Pseudomonadati; Pseudomonadota; Gammaproteobacteria; Enterobacterales; Enterobacteriaceae. The record is from RNAcentral.
GCCAGUGGUGAACUCCACAUCCGCAUCCUUUGCUGAGGAUACGGUUAACGGAGCGAAAGCGACGUUCAACCGCAAAACAAGCAGAGGGGGCUUAGUGGUGGGGUGACUGCGUACCUUUUGUAUAAUGGGUCAGCGACUUAUAUUCUGUAGCAAGGUUAACCGAAUAGGGGAGCCGGAGGGAAACCGAGUCUUAAUUGGGCGUUAAGUUGCAGGGUAUAGACCCGAAACCCGGUGAUCUAGCCAUGGGCAGGUUGAAGGUUGGGUAACACUAACUGGAGGACCGAACCGACUAAUGUUGAAAAAUUAGCGGAUGACCUGUGGCUGGGGGUGAAAGGCCAAUCAAACCGGGAGAUAGCUGGUUCUCCCCGAAAGCUAUUUAGGUAGCGCCUCGUGAAUUCAUCUCCGGGGGUAGAGCACUGUUUCGGCUAGGGGGCCAUCCCGGCUUACCAACCCGAUGCAAACUGCGAAUACCGGAGAAUGUUAUCACGGGAGACACACGGCGGGUGCUAACGUCCGUCGUGAAGAGGGAAACAACCCAGACCGCCAGCUAAGGUCCCAAAGUCAUGGUUAAGUGGGAAACGAUGUGGGAAGGCCCAGACAGCCAGGAUGUUGGCUUAGAAGCAGCCAUCAUUUAAAGAAAGCGUAAUAGCUCACUGGUCGAGUCGGCCUGCGCGGAAGAUGUAACGGGGCUAAACCAUGCACCGAAGCUGCGGCAGCGAACGUAUCACCCAAGACAACUUUACGGAGUUGACGAUUGACGGAGCGAAGCGACGUCAAAGCGUUCAUUAAAGUCGAGUUGGCUUAGGGAUACGUUCGUUGGGUAGGGGAGCGUUCUGUAAGCCUGUGAAGGUGUGUCGUGAGGCAUGCUGGAGGUAUCAGAAGUGCGAAUGCUGACAUAAGUAACGAUAAAGCGGGUGAAAAGCCCGCUCGCCGGAAGACCAAGGGUUCCUGUCCAACGUUAAUCGGGGCAGGGUGAGUCGACCCCUAAGGCGAGGCCGAAAGGCGUAGUCGAUGGGAAACGGGUUAAUAUUCCCGUACUUGGUGUUACUGCGAAGGGGGGACGGAGAAGGCUAUGUUGGCCGGGCGACGGUUGUCCCGGUUUAAGCGUGUAGGUGUGUGUUCCAGGUAAAUCCGGUUCACUUUAACACUGAGGCGUGACGACGAGGCACUACGGUGCUGAAGCAACAAAUGCCCUGCUUCCAGGAAAAGCCUCUAAGCAUCAGGUAACACGAAAUCGUACCCCAAACCGACACAGGUGGUCAGGUAGAGAAUACCAAGGCGCUUGAGAGAACUCGGGUGAAGGAACUAGGCAAAAUGGUGCCGUAACUUCGGGAGAAGGCACGCUGACACGUAGGUGAAGUGAUUUACUCAUGGAGCUGAAGUCAGUCGAAGAUACCAGCUGGCUGCAACUGUUUAUUAAAAACACAGCACUGUGCAAACACGAAAGUGGACGUAUACGGUGUGACGCCUGCCCGGUGCCGGAAGGUUAAUUGAUGGGGUCAGCGCAAGCGAAGCUCCUGAUCGAAGCCCCGGUAAACGGCGGCCGUAACUAUAACGGUCCUAAGGUAGCGAAAUUCCUUGUCGGGUAAGUUCCGACCUGCACGAAUGGCGUAAUGAUGGCCAGGCUGUCUCCACCCGAGACUCAGUGAAAUUGAACUCGCUGUGAAGAUGCAGUGUACCCGCGGCAAGACGGAAAGACCCCGUGAACCUUUACUAUAGCUUGACACUGAACAUUGAGCCUUGAUGUGUAGGAUAGGUGGGAGGCUUUGAAGUGUGGACGCCAGUCUGCAUGGAGCCGACCUUGAAAUACCACCCUUUAAUGUUUGAUGUUCUAACGUGGACCCGUAAUCCGGGUUGCGGACAGUGUCUGGUGGGUAGUUUGACUGGGGCGGUCUCCUCCUAAAGAGUAACGGAGGAGCACGAAGGUUGGCUAAUCCUGGUCGGACAUCAGGAGGUUAGUGCAAUGGCAUAAGCCAGCUUGACUGCGAGCGUGACGGCGCGAGCAGGUGCGAAAGCAGGUCAUAGUGAUCCGGUGGUUCUGAAUGGAAGGGCCAUCGCUCAACGGAUAAAAGGUACUCCGGGGAUAACAGGCUGAUACCGCCCAAGAGUUCAUAUCGACGGCGGUGUUUGGCACCUCGAUGUCGGCUCAUCACAUCCUGGGGCUGAAGUAGGUCCCAAGGGUAUGGCUGUUCGCCAUUUAAAGUGGUACGCGAGCUGGGUUUAGAACGUCGUGAGACAGUUCGGUCCCUAUCUGCCGUGGGCGCUGGAGAACUGAGGGGGGCUGCUCCUAGUACGAGAGGACCGGAGUGGACGCAUCACUGGUGUUCGGGUUGUCAUGCCAAUGGCACUGCCCGGUAGCUAAAUGCGGAAGAGAUAAGUGCUGAAAGCAUCUAAGCACGAAACUUGCCCCGAGAUGAGUUCUCCCUGAGACUUAGAGUCUCCUGAAGGAACGUUGAAGACGACGACGUUGAUAGGCCGGGUGUGUAAGCGCAGCGAUGCGUUGAGCUAACCGGUACUAAUGAACCGUGAGGCUUAACCUUACAACGCCG